AUUGAACGCUAGCGGCAGGCCUAACACAUGCAAGUCGAACGAGUGGCGGACGGGUGAGUAAUGUAUGGGAAACUGCCCGAUGGCGGGGGAUAACUACUGGAAACGGUAGCUAAUACCGCAUACCAUCAGAUGUGCCCAGAUGGGAUUAGCUUGUUGGUGGGGUAACGGCUCACCAAGGCGACGAUCCGUAGCUGGUCUGAGAGGAUGACAAGCGACACUGGAGCGGAGACACGGGCCAGAGUCCUACGGGAGGCAGCAGUGGGGAAUAUGGGACAAUGGGGGCAAGGCUGAUGCAGCCAUGCCGCGUGUAUGAAGAAGGCCUUCGGGUUGUAAAGUACUUUCAGCGGGGAAGCGUUACCUGCAGAAUAAGCACCGGCUAACUCCGUGCCAGCAGCCGCGGUAAUUC
RNAcentral lists this ribosomal RNA (406 nucleotides) under uncultured bacterium. RNAcentral describes it as "partial 16S ribosomal RNA". It matches the Rfam family "Bacterial small subunit ribosomal RNA", at positions 30 to 526 of the family's 1533-position model. The record is from RNAcentral.